GACGAACGCUGGCGGCGUGCUUAACACAUGCAAGUCGAACGGAAAGGCCCUGCUUUUGUGGGGUGCUCGAUUGGCGAACGGGUGAGUAACACGUGAGUAACCUGCCCUUGACUUUGGGAUAACUUCAGGAAACUGGGGCUAAUACCGGAUAGGAGCUCCUGCUGCAUGGUGGGGGUUGGAAAGUUUCGGCGGUUGGGGAUGGACUCGCGGCUUAUCAGCUUGUUGGUGGGGUAGUGGCUUACCAAGGCUUUGACGGGUAGCCGGCCUGAGAGGGUGACCGGCAACAUUGGGACUGAGAUACGGCCCAGACUCCUACGGGAGGCAGCAGUGGGGAACAUUGCACAAUGGGCGGAAGCCUGAUGCAGCAACGCCGCGUGCGGGAUGACGGCCUUCGGGUUGUAAACCGCUUUCGCAUGUGACGAAGCGUGAGUGACGGUAAUGGGUAAAGAAGCACCGGCUAACUACGUG
This 468-nucleotide ribosomal RNA is filed under the name uncultured bacterium. RNAcentral's name for it is "partial 16S ribosomal RNA". It matches the Rfam family "Bacterial small subunit ribosomal RNA", at positions 28 to 507 of the family's 1533-position model. The record is from RNAcentral.